RNAcentral lists this ribosomal RNA (492 nucleotides) under uncultured bacterium. Its description in RNAcentral is "partial 16S ribosomal RNA". It matches the Rfam family "Bacterial small subunit ribosomal RNA", at positions 29 to 507 of the family's 1533-position model. The record is from RNAcentral.
AGUGAACGCUGGCGGUAGGCCUAACACAUGCAAGUCGAACGGCAGCACAGUAAGAGCUUGCUCUUACGGGUGGCGAGUGGCGGACGGGUGAGGAAUACAUCGGACUCUACUUUUUCGUGGGGGAUAACGUAGGGAAACUUACGCUAAUACCGCAUACGACCUACGGGUGAAAGCAGGGGAUCUUCGGACCUUGCGCGAUUGAAUGAGCCGAUGUCGGAUUAGCUAGUUGGCGGGGUAAAGGCCCACCAAGGCGACGAUCCGUAGCUGGUCUGAGAGGAUGAUCAGCCACACUGGAACUGAGACACGGUCCAGACUCCUACGGGAGGCAGCAGUGGGGAAUAUUGGACAAUGGGCGCAAGCCUGAUCCAGCCAUACCGCGUGGGUGAAGAAGGCCUUCGGGUUGUAAAGCCCUUUUGUUGGGAAAGAAAAGCAGCAGGUUAACACCCCGCUGUUCUGACGGUACCCAAAGAAUAAGCACCGGCUAACUUCGUG